RNAcentral lists this ribosomal RNA (253 nucleotides) under uncultured bacterium. RNAcentral's name for it is "partial 16S ribosomal RNA". It matches the Rfam family "Bacterial small subunit ribosomal RNA", at positions 524 to 776 of the family's 1533-position model. The record is from RNAcentral.
UACAGAGGUCUCAAGCGUUGUUCGGAUUUAUUGGGCGUGAAGGGCGCGUAGGCGGCGGGGUAAGUCGGGUGUGAAAUCUCAGGGCUCAACCCUGAAACUGCACUUGAUACUGCUCUGCUUGAGGACUGGAGAGGAGACUGGAAUUCACGGUGUAGCAGUGAAAUGCGUAGAUAUCGUGAGGAAGACCAGUGGCGAAGGCGGGUCUCUGGACAGUUCCUGACGCUGAGGCGCGAAGGCCAGGGGAGCAAACGGG